This 253-nucleotide ribosomal RNA is filed under the name uncultured bacterium. Its description in RNAcentral is "partial 16S ribosomal RNA". It matches the Rfam family "Bacterial small subunit ribosomal RNA", at positions 524 to 776 of the family's 1533-position model. The record is from RNAcentral.
UACGAAGGGGGCUAGCGUUGUUCGGAAUUACUGGGCGUAAAGCGCGCGCAGGCGGUCUUCCAAGUCAGUGGUGAAAGCCCGGAGCUCAACUCCGGAACUGCCAUUGAAACUGUUAAACUUGAGGAUGAGAGAGGUGAGUGGAAUUCCCAGUGUAGAGGUGAAAUUCGUAGAUAUUCGCAAGAACACCAGUGGCGAAGGCGGCUCACUGGUCCGGUACUGACGCUGAGGUGCGAAAGCGUGGGGAGCAAACAGG